RNAcentral lists this ribosomal RNA (464 nucleotides) under Vreelandella stevensii. RNAcentral's name for it is "partial 16S ribosomal RNA". It matches the Rfam family "Bacterial small subunit ribosomal RNA", at positions 338 to 795 of the family's 1533-position model. Lineage: Bacteria; Pseudomonadati; Pseudomonadota; Gammaproteobacteria; Oceanospirillales; Halomonadaceae. The record is from RNAcentral.
CCUACGGGGGGCUGCAGUGGGGAAUAUUGGACAAUGGGGGGAACCCUGAUCCAGCCAUGCCGCGUGUGUGAAGAAGGCCCUCGGGUUGUAAAGCACUUUCAGUGAGGAAGAACGCCUGGUGGUUAAUACCCAUCAGGAAAGACAUCACUCACAGAAGAAGCACCGGCUAACUCCGUGCCAGCAGCCGCGGUAAUACGGAGGGUGCGAGCGUUAAUCGGAAUUACUGGGCGUAAAGCGCGCGUAGGUGGCUUGAUAAGCCGGUUGUGAAAGCCCCGGGCUCAACCUGGGAACGGCAUCCGGAACUGUCAAGCUAGAGUGCAGGAGAGGAAGGUAGAAUUCCCGGUGUAGCGGUGAAAUGCGUAGAGAUCGGGAGGAAUACCAGUGGCGAAGGCGGCCUUCUGGACUGACACUGACACUGAGGUGCGAAAGCGUGGGUAGCAAACAGGAUUAGAACCCCAGUAAUC